Molecule: ribosomal RNA, 494 nt
Filed under: uncultured bacterium
Lineage: Bacteria
Description: partial 16S ribosomal RNA
Rfam family: Bacterial small subunit ribosomal RNA
Source: RNAcentral
GACGAACGCUGGCGGCGCGCUUAACACAUGCAAGUCGAACGGAAAGGCCUGCUUUCCCUUGUGGAUUGCGGGUACUCGAGUGGCGAACGGGUGAGUAACACGUGAGUGAUCUGCCCCCAACUUGGGUAUAAGCCUGGGAAACUGGGUCUAAUUCCCGAUAGGACUGCAGGGUGGUGCCUGUGGUGGAAAACGAUUUUCUAGUGGUUGGGGAUGAGCUCGCGGCCUAUCAGCUUGUUGGUGGGGUAAUGGCCUACCAAGGCGGCGACGGGUAGCCGGCCUGGGGGGGUGGACGGCCACAUUGGGACUGAGAUACGGCCCAGACGCCUACGGGAGGCAGCAGUGGGGAAUAUUGCACAAUGGGCGGAAGCCUGAUGCAGCGACGCCGCGUGGGGGAUGACGGCCUUCGGGUUGUAAACUCCUUUCGACCGCGAGGAAGCCACCUGGUUGGAAGGGUGGUGACGGUAGUGGUAGAAGAAGCACCGGCUAACUACGUG